Molecule: ribosomal RNA, 443 nt
Filed under: uncultured bacterium
Lineage: Bacteria
Description: bacterial SSU rRNA
Rfam family: Bacterial small subunit ribosomal RNA
Source: RNAcentral
CUACGGGAGGCAGCAGUGGGGAAUCUUGCGCAAUGGGCGAAAGCCUGACGCAGCGACGCCGCGUGGGUGACGAAGGCCUUCGGGUCGUAAAACCCUGUUGCAGGGGACGAAGGAAGUGACGGUACCCUGCCAGAAAGCCCCGGCUAACUACGUGCCAGCAGCCGCGGUAAAACGUAGGGGGCGAGCGUUGUCCGGAAUUACUGGGCGUAAAGGGCUCGUAGGCGGUAACUCAAGUCAGUUGUGAAAACCGACGGCUUAACCGGAGGAUUGCAGUUGAUACUGGGUUACUUGAGGCAAGGAGAGGAAGGUGGAAUUCCCGGUGUAGCGGUGAUAUGCGUAGAUAUCGGGAGGAACCCCAGUGGCGAAGGCGGCCUUCUGGUCUUGACCUGACGCUGAGGAGCGAAAGCCAGGGUAGCGAACGGGAUUAGAAACCCGGGUAGUCC